AGUGAACGCUGGCGGUAGGCCUAACACAUGCAAGUCGAACGGCAGCACAGUAAGAGCUUGCUCUUACGGGUGGCGAGUGGCGGACGGGUGAGGAAUACAUCGGAAUCUACUUUUUCGUGGGGGAUAACGUAGGGAAACUUACGCUAAUACCGCAUACGACCUACGGGUGAAAGCAGGGGAUCUUCGGACCUUGCGCGAUUGAAUGAGCCGAUGUCGGAUUAGCUAGUUGGCGGGGUAAAGGCCCACCAAGGCGACGAUCCGUAGCUGGUCUGAGAGGAUGAUCCGCCACACUGUAACUGAGACACGGUCCAGACUCCUACGGGCGGCAGCGGUGGGGAAUAUUGGACAAUGGGCGCAGGCCUGAUCCAGCCAUACCGCGUGGGUGAAGAAGGCCUUCGGGUUGUAAAGCCCUUUUGUUGGGAAAGAAGAGCAGCAGGUUAAUACCCCGCUGUUCUGACGGUACCCAAAGAAUAAGCACCGGCUAACUUCGUG
Molecule: ribosomal RNA, 492 nt
Filed under: uncultured bacterium
Lineage: Bacteria
Description: partial 16S ribosomal RNA
Rfam family: Bacterial small subunit ribosomal RNA
Source: RNAcentral